UACGUAGGUGGCAAGCGUUGUCCGGAUUUACUGGGCGUAAAGGGCGUGCAGGCGGUUUGUUAAGUGCAGGGUGAAAGCUCCCGGCUCAACUGGGAGAGGUCCUUGCAUACUGGCAAACUCGAGGGAGGCAGAGGAAAGUGGAAUUCCCGGUGUAGUGGUGAUAUGCGUAGAUAUCGGGAGGAACACCUGUGGCGAAGGCGGCUUCCUGGGCCUUACCUGACGCUGAGACGCGAAAGCGUGGGGAGCGAACCGG
RNAcentral lists this ribosomal RNA (253 nucleotides) under uncultured bacterium. RNAcentral describes it as "partial 16S ribosomal RNA". It matches the Rfam family "Bacterial small subunit ribosomal RNA", at positions 524 to 776 of the family's 1533-position model. The record is from RNAcentral.